GGAUCGGCUACCAACCUGCCCCGUGGUAUGACUGCACUUUACUCUCUGGGCCAACUGCUGUCUGACCGCACACGCUGAAUAAAGCUGACAUCCUCCACGCUUUUCAGAGGAGGACGCUUCUGCAGACUGAACUCGGAUACUCACCAAAGAUCUAAGAGUUUACCUGGAGCAGGAGUCUCGUCAUGUCUAAGCUACUACUCAUCUCAUUCUUCCUGGUAGCACUUGUCAGUGUGGAGGCCCUCCGUAUCCCAAGAGAUGCUAAUUGGGCCUUUGACACGCUAUCAAUAUAUGACCAGACCAUGGAGAUGAUUAGCAGGGUAGUUGGUCGAAAGAACCUUCAAGCUGCAAUCGACACUGCAGCAGAAGUAGUGAAACGCGUGUUUGAUGGAUCAGAAAUAGUUGUGAGAGACGUCAUCAAACCUCUCUUUGAAUAACUUCUUCACUGAUGUGGAACCCACCACCAUUAAUCAUCAGUCUGUUACAAAGCUAUUGUGAAGGCACUAAACUGACUAAGAGCAAAAUGUUUUUUUCCCCCUUCACUUGUGUAUUAAAUAAACCGUUAUGAUGGACUGCCAUGUCAA
Molecule: long non-coding RNA, 581 nt
Organism: Sardina pilchardus (European sardine)
Lineage: Eukaryota; Metazoa; Chordata; Actinopteri; Clupeiformes; Clupeidae
Exons: 5
Source: RefSeq, a predicted model, not a curated record